CCUACGGGGGGCAGUAGUGAGGAAUAUUGGUCAAUGGACGAGAGUCUGAACCAGCCAAGUAGCGUGAAGGAUGACUGCCCUAUGGGUUGUAAACUUCUUUUAUAUGGGAAUAAAAUGUUCCACGUGUGGGAUUUUGUAUGUACCAUAUGAAUAAGGAUCGGCUAACUCCGUGCCAGCAGCCGCGGUAAUACGGAGGAUCCGAGCGUUAUCCGGAUUUAUUGGGUUUAAAGGGAGCGUAGGUGGAUUGUUAAGUCAGUUGUGAAAGUUUGCGGCUCAACCGUAAAAUUGCAGUUGAAACUGGCAGUCUUGAGUACAGUAGAGGUGGGCGGAAUUCGUGGUGUAGCGGUGAAAUGCUUAGAUAUCACGAAGAACUCCGAGUGCGAAGGCAGUUCACUGGACUGCAACUGACACUGAGGCUCGAAAGUGUGGGUAUCAAACAGGAUUAGAUACCCGAGUAGUC
RNAcentral lists this ribosomal RNA (460 nucleotides) under uncultured bacterium. Its description in RNAcentral is "partial 16S ribosomal RNA". It matches the Rfam family "Bacterial small subunit ribosomal RNA", at positions 338 to 795 of the family's 1533-position model. The record is from RNAcentral.